This 345-nucleotide unclassified non-coding RNA is filed under the name soil metagenome. RNAcentral's name for it is "partial contains 5.8S ribosomal RNA, internal transcribed spacer 2, and large subunit ribosomal RNA". The stretch from base 1 to 120 matches the Rfam family "5.8S ribosomal RNA", at positions 35 to 154 of the family's 154-position model. The record is from RNAcentral.
GAUGAAGAACGCAGCGAAAUGCGAUACGUAAUGUGAAUUGCAGAAUUCAGUGAAUCAUCGAGUCUUUGAACGCACAUUGCGCCCCCUGGUAUUCCGGGGGGCAUGCCUGUCCGAGCGUCAUUGCUGCCCUCAAGCACGGCUUGUGUGUUGGGCCUCCGUCCUCCUCCCGGGGGACGGGCCCGAAAGGCAGCGGCGGCACCGCGUCCGGUCCUCGAGCGUAUGGGGCUUCGUCACCCGCUCUUGUAGGCCCGGCCGGCGCUUGCCGACACAUCAAUCUUUUUUCCAGGUUGACCUCGGAUCAGGUAGGGAUACCCGCUGAACUUAAGCAUAUCAAUAAGUGGAGGA